UACUUGCGAGUGGUCCUCAUCAUGUUC
RNAcentral lists this small RNA (27 nucleotides) under Bombyx mori (domestic silkworm). RNAcentral's name for it is "ovarian small RNA-21659". The record is from RNAcentral. Lineage: Eukaryota; Metazoa; Arthropoda; Insecta; Lepidoptera; Bombycidae.